GUCCUAUUGUAGUUUAUAUUAGGUCAGGCCUGCUCAAUGAUUUAAAAUUAAAUAGCCGCAGUAUUUUGACUGUGCAAAGGUAGCAUAAUCAUUUGUCUCUUAAUUGGGGGCUUGUAUGAAAGGUUUAAUGAAAAAUACGCUUUCUUUAUGUAAUAGAAUGAAUUUAACGUUUAAGUUAAAAGGCUUAGAUAUUAUUAUGGGACGAGAAGACCCUAUAGAAAUUUACUAUUUAUAGACAGUUAAUUUUAAUUUAAUUAUGAAUUUAUUUUUUAUGAAUAGUUUUGUUGGGGCGACACGAAGAUUUUAGUAACUCUUCGUUUUAAUUAUUUUAUUAAUUUAUAUCUAUUGAGAUCCUUUAAUAAGGAUGUAAAGAAUAAUUUACCUUAGGGAUAACAGCGUAAUUCUUUUGGAGAGUUCUUAUUGAUGAAAGAGAUUGCGACCUCGAUGUUGGAUUAAAAUAAGUUUUGAGUGCAGAAGCUCAUUUUCUAGGUCUGUUCGACCUUUAAUUUUUUACA
This 515-nucleotide ribosomal RNA is filed under the name Plataspididae sp. 1 WCW-2007. RNAcentral's name for it is "partial 16S ribosomal RNA". It matches the Rfam family "Bacterial large subunit ribosomal RNA", at positions 1830 to 2600 of the family's 2925-position model. Lineage: Eukaryota; Metazoa; Arthropoda; Insecta; Hemiptera; Plataspidae. The record is from RNAcentral.